AUAUGUAGUAUUCACAUCCGUAGUUAUUUCAUAUUCAAAAUUGUGGUUCGCGUUGUUGUUUUUUUUGUACCGAUACUGGCUGUUAAACAACAACCAGUAAAGUAGAACAACAGCGGAAGGUCAAACAUUGGGUUGUAAUCGACUAAACACCUGUAGCAAGACUGACCAAUCAAAUGCAAGAACUCGUCUCUAUGGAAACGGCGAACGCUAAAACAGGAAAGACCUAAGCAGCGCUACGGAAAUCCAGAUCAGAUAGGUGUAGGAUGGCAGGUACAUCACGACAUGACCGAGAGAUGGCAAUCAGUGCCAAAAAGCAGCUGUCAGAUUGUUCAGACCCCAUUGAGAGACUGAGGCUGCAGUGUUUGGCACGAGGGUCCGCAGGCAUCAAGGGACUGGGCAGGACUUUUAGGAUCAUGGACGAUGACAAUAGUCGCACACUAGACAUGAAAGAGUUCCUGAAAGGCCUGAGUGACUAUGGUGUGCUCAUCGAGAAAGAAGAGGCGAUAAACCUUUUUCAGCUCUUUGACAGGGACGGCAGUGGACUUAUUGACUUUGAUGAGUUUCUUAUCACUUUGAGGCCACCCAUGUCUAAUGCCAGGAAGGAGGUGGUGUUACAGGCAUUCAAAAAGUUGGAUAAGACUGGAGAUGGUGUGAUUACAAUUGAGGAUCUGAGAGGAGUAUACAAUGUUAAACAUCACCCCAAAUAUCAAAACGGUGAGUGGACCGAAGACCAAGUAUUCCGCAAAUUCCUGGACAGUUUUGACUCUCCGGAUGACAAGGAUGGAAAGGUCACAAAAGAGGAGUUUAUGAACUACUACUCCGGUGUGAGCGCAUCCAUUGACACAGAUAUCUACUUUAUAGUAAUGAUGAAAAAUGCAUGGAAGCUUGACUAAACUUCUGAAGCUUCUAUUUUAGGUGAUAGCAACAGGCACAGUUUUGACAGGGUCAAGUCUGAAAUAAGGUGACAAAAGAUGAAUUCUGGAACUAUUACAGUGGAGUCAGUGCUUCAAUCGAUAAUGAUGCAUAUUUUAUUUUAAUGAUGAAGAGUGCAUGGAAGUUAUGAAGGGAUUUGCUUGUAAA
Megalobrama amblycephala (Wuchang bream) is the source of this 1080-nucleotide RNA transcript. It is a transcript of the gene named calcyphosine-like b, with no coding region annotated. Lineage: Eukaryota; Metazoa; Chordata; Actinopteri; Cypriniformes; Xenocyprididae. The transcript is spliced from 7 exons. The record is from RefSeq and is a predicted model, not a curated record.